AGGCUGUACCCCCUGCCUCCCCCCUCCGUGGAGGCGCUAGCCUACUCCACCUACCCCAGCUCCCUCCCCUACAACAAUAUUCACUAUACAAUAGGGUAGACCUCAUGGAUGGGACACAGUGGCACUAACAGUGGUUAAAUGUCUGAGCAAGGGCAAGGAAAGAAAAGACAAGUGUAGGGAAAGUAAAUCAACAGAAAAAUAUGAAGGAGGCAUAUAUACAGUAAACAUGCCUAUAAACGACGAUAGGCUAGAAAUGUCACAUUCAAACGCAGUGUGAAGCAUUCGCUAUGACCCAAAAAAAUCCCACCCAAAGAAAACAAUAUAUAAAAAGGAAAUGGCAACACCAUCUGAUUUCCUGGUAUGCGUCCCCCGAUAGAAGAGAGUCUGGCGGAUAAUGUUGAAUGCACUUCCAAUCAUCAGUUGCACAUUAAAGGCCCAAUCCAAGGUUGGACCAAGGAAAGCCCCCAUGCUCCCCCCACCCAACAAAAUAAUGCAGGAUGUGUCCCCCUUUAGAUAAGCUCCAACACAAACGCUGCCAAAAAAUAAAAAAGAGAGAGGCAAUCCCAUAUCAUAGUAGGCCUCCCCUGGCAUAACCAAGUAUGGCUCGCGAGUAGGUAUGAUGGUGCCUCCAAACGUCAGGAGCUUAGUAAAGUCUCAACCCGUGGGUGGAUCAUGGAGAAUCCCCAGAUACUCGCCACACAAAUAAAAAGGAGAAACAAACAGAAUGGAGGGAUGAGAAAUGUACCUCAGGCCCAGGGUGUUCACCAUGGAGUCGUAGGUGGGUGCAGGCAAGCAGGUGCAGUCCACUCUGAAGUCUCAAUCCCCGGGUACAGCAGGAUCUGGGCGCCGUCGGGGCAGAGGGCCUGGCAGAGAUCUACUUGCACAAAAUCUGGGAGCUCUCUGCGGCCGAGGCCUCUGCUCCAAGGGUCCCAGCACCCAGUUGAUGACAGUAGUGGGGGGCAGCCCCAUUUCUUCCAGGAACUGUGGAACAUCUUAUGGAGGCCCAGCCGUGCUGAUGUCGUUCCAACAAUGCAAAUGGGGUGCCCCACUUUUAACGGAUGUUGCAGUCCCGCAAGGCUGCAGUCACGGGCCUCCGCGCACACCGCUCUUCAAGCAUAAGAGAAGAGAGCGUCUCCUCCUCCACAUUUUCCUCCCCAUCCACUUCGGGUACCUUGAUGUUACACAGCCGACCUUUGUUGUCCAAAUCCUCCAGAUGGCAUCUCAUGGCAAGUAGCAUCCCACCUUGACAAGCUCAGCCUGGCGCUCCAGUGUGUGGAUGCGGCCUUCCUGUGCAGUGACCUCAGUCCGCAGGCCUGCCACCGCCGCCCGCACCGCAUCCUGAAUUGUGGACGUGAGGUGCUGAAGGUUGGCCUUGGUGGACAUAGCGGCAGCCAUGGUCUUCAAUUCUUCCCCAAUCCUGUUGUGUCGUGAGGUCGGAACCUGCACAACAAUAUAUUGAGUCAAUUCUCCAGCAGAUCUCAUUUUUGCUUCCCUUUACCUUCUUAAAUAUAGUAAAAUCAUACUUGUAUUAAAGUCUGCAGCUGCUGCGUAUGCCCUUAUCUGGCUGCUUGGCUGACAUCACAAGUGAUUCUCUGAGCUAAUCACAAUGCUUACCCAUUGUAUUGGCUGAAACUGUCAAGCAGGCAGAUCAGGGGCAGAGCCAGCACAAAUCAAACACAGCCCUGGCUUGAAUCAAUGCAUCUCUAUGAGGAAAGUUCAGUGUCUCCAUGCAGAGGGUAGAGACCAUGAAAGAUGGCUGCUACAGGUGCUUGCAGCACUACCAAAGGAUUGGCCAGUG
Non-coding RNA from Pelobates cultripes (western spadefoot toad), 1798 nucleotides. NCBI's taxonomy places the organism in Eukaryota, Metazoa, Chordata, Amphibia, Anura, Pelobatidae. The record is from the annotation of a GenBank genome assembly.